Molecule: ribosomal RNA, 253 nt
Filed under: uncultured bacterium
Lineage: Bacteria
Description: partial 16S ribosomal RNA
Rfam family: Bacterial small subunit ribosomal RNA
Source: RNAcentral
UACGUAGGUGGCGAGCGUUGUCCGGAUUUACUGGGCGUAAAGCGCGCGCAGGCGGACUGAUCAGUCUGGGGUGAAAUCUCACGGCUCAACUGUGAGCGGUCCCUGGAUACUGUCAGUCUUGAGAUGUCUAGAGGAGAGCGGAAUUCCCGGUGUAGUGGUGGAAUGCGUAGAUAUCGGGAGGAACACCGGUGGCGAAGGCGGCAUCCUGGACCGGUAUUGACACUGAGGCGCAAAAGCCAGGGGAGCAAACGGG